UCGUAGUCAUGAGGAGCACGCCGCGUGAGUGAUGAGGUUUUCGGAUCGUAAAGCUCUGUUGUUAGGGAAGAACAAGUGCCGUUCAAAUAGGGCGGCACCUUGACGGUACCUAACCAGAAAGCCACGGCUAACUACGUGCCAGCAGCCGCGGUAAUACGUAGGUGGCAAGCGUUGUCCGGAAUUAUUGGGCGUAAAGGGCUCGCAGGCGGUUUCUUAAGUCUGAUGUGAAAGCCCCCGGCUCAACCGGGGAGGGUCAUUGGAAACUGGGGAACUUGAGUGCAGAAGAGGAGAGUGGAAUUCCACGUGUAGCGGUGAAAUGCGUAGAGAUGUGGAGGAACACCAGUGGCGAAGGCGACUCUCUGGUCUGUAACUGACGCUGAGGAGCGAAAGCGUGGGGAGCGAACAGGAUUAGAUACCCUGGUAAUCCACGCCGUAAACGAUGAGUGCUAAGUGUGAGGGGGUUUCCGCCCCUUAGUGCUGCAGCUAACGCAUAAACCACUCCGCCGGGGGGAGGAAAUCA
RNAcentral lists this ribosomal RNA (520 nucleotides) under Bacillus atrophaeus. RNAcentral's name for it is "bacterial SSU rRNA". It matches the Rfam family "Bacterial small subunit ribosomal RNA", at positions 375 to 873 of the family's 1533-position model. The record is from RNAcentral. Lineage: Bacteria; Bacillati; Bacillota; Bacilli; Caryophanales; Bacillaceae.